Non-coding RNA from Lonchura striata (white-rumped munia), 2264 nucleotides. The record is from RefSeq and is a predicted model, not a curated record. NCBI's taxonomy places the organism in Eukaryota, Metazoa, Chordata, Aves, Passeriformes, Estrildidae.
AGACUAACUGUGUUAUAUGGCUUAUCAAAAGCUUGUAUGUCUCUCUAGAAAGCUUGGCUUGCCUUAGAUCAUCACCUAACAACAACAAGGCUACUACUUGUUCCUUUGAAGGCUGGCAUUGAUUUUUGCUGGCAGCAAAAUAGUAGGCUUUUCGCAUUCCUCAUCUGAGGUGAAGGGCAAAUUUGGGGUUUUGUAAAACACGCUUAUUGUUGACCCCGUAAAAUUGAAUGUUGACUUCCAAAAAGAAGAUUGAAAGAUGUGGAUGUUUAAAAAAUAUUCUGACUCUCCAACACUAAAGGUCUUUUACUCUUCAGCACCCACCUGCUAUGGGAGGAAUUUAAAUGCCAGAGUACUCACACUGCUAUAUGAAGCUGGGCUAUGCAAUAUGAAGCUGCCCAUGCUAUAUGAAUCUGGCCCAUGCAAUAUGAAGCUGGGCACUGCUAUAUGAAGCUAGGCCAUGCUAUAUGAUGCUGGGCCAUGCGAUAUGAAUCUAGGCUAUACAGAUGUUUCCCCUUGUGGAUUGUCCAGCCAUUGUAGCCCUUCGCUGGCAUACUCUGCUAUCCAAUCUCCAUCUCCACUUUCCCUCUUGUGGCAGACAUCUGGACUUUCUCCUGUUGCAGUAACAGACACAUUUGAAUCAGUUUUCACAUACGACAUGUACCAGUCACAAGGCUGAUUCUUUACAAUAGACAGAGAAUGGAAAGAAAAAAAAAAAGAAAACAAAAAGCUUUCUUCUGAGAGGAAGAGGACUGACAGAUGGAAUGACCAGAAAGUAAUUUACUCUUUGGGGCGCGGCUGCUGCCCAUCAUCUUUGUUUUCUCAUUCUGGGUAUCUUUAUUGCUGCCUUCCUGUUGAGAGAAGAGGGAUGAAGAGGGAUCAUCUUUGAUGUGGCUGUAUCGGAGCACAGACCUUCUGGUCUUGAUCUGACAGCUUUGUGAUUACAGUGGGACACUAAGGGAGCUGCCACCAAGUGGGAAUGCUGGAUGUCAGAAGCAGAACCUUAAACAACUUUGGCAUUUGGUGGAGAAACAACACAGAUGGGCAUACCAGAGUAACUUGCUCACAACAGCCCUUCAUUCCCUACAGCCUUUCAUUCCCAGCAAAGAGCGUGGCUGUAAACCAGACCGGGCUGUUCUUGAGUAGGAGGAACCACUGCUUUGUAGUGCACUUACAGUAACUGGCUGUACCUGCUGGCACUUCCUGGAAAAGCAGAAAUAAACUUUCAUAAUAUCCUUUAACAGACACAGAUAUAAGUUGUAGUAAAAAUGUUUUAAAAUUUUUCUUAAAACACUACUAACUUGGGAGGGAUGUUUCAAGUAUUUGAAAUUCUUUUCUACAUGAAGCUGAGACCUAACAAGUACAAGACCCAAUUUCAAGCCAGUGGAAAAAGCAGGAAAAAUUCUGAGGUCUACAACAGAAACAUUUGAUGGAUUCUCUAAAAUGUUCAUUAGAAUUUAAGAAAUUUGUUUUUACAUUAAAUGAUUGGUAAUAGCCUUAGAAUUUUUUAAAAGUUUAUGUAAUAUUGGCACUUUCUGUAAUCUCAUUCCUACUGUGUCUUGAAUUACCUUUAACCCCUAUGACAUGUUUUCUGUAAUUCUUAUGUUACAGUUGCAUUUCUGCAGUUUCCAGACUGGUGCAGUGUCUGGGUACUCACAGCAUGUUGACUUCUACACGGAAGAAAAAUAAACUGAUUUAGAUCUUUGGGGUUUUUUUUCCCAACUCAUCCUCUUCAGUAUAUACAGUCUUUAUUUAUGAGGGAUGAAGGCAUAACACCCUUCCACUCCAGUUUUUUCAAACGUAAUUUAUACAUUUCUUUCUUGAAUAUACUGUUUUUUUGAGCUGUUCCUACCUGUGUCUUCUUCCUCCUUCAUAUGACAAAACAAAGCUUGGAUAAAUGAUGCUACAAACUGUAUUAUAUUUUAUAGUAAGCAAAGAGAAAAAUACCUGUAACACUCACCUAUUCUGAUUUUAGUUUUAGUGGUCCUUGAGUAUUACCAUUUUACAGUGGUCUGCAACAGGUAAUAUAGACUAGUUGGUAUGAAAUAAAGCAAAUUUGCAGCACCAAGUUGCAUAUGGUAGGAUUCAGAUAAAGAUGUGGUUUAACUCUGAUGUCACAUGGAGAAUUGGAUGUCUUUAUAAAUGAAGUAUUUCCAAGGUACAGUUACCUUGCAAUAAUUAAAAAUUGUCCACAAAAUCUAAGCUAACCAAUGUCCCUAACUGAUGCUUAAUUAAAAAAAAAAUUUGAGAAGUACUUUUUAACAUCC